This 460-nucleotide ribosomal RNA is filed under the name uncultured bacterium. RNAcentral's name for it is "bacterial SSU rRNA". It matches the Rfam family "Bacterial small subunit ribosomal RNA", at positions 28 to 490 of the family's 1533-position model. The record is from RNAcentral.
GAUGAACGCUGGCGGCGUGCCUAACACAUGCAAGUCGAACGAAGCACUUUGAUUGAUUCUUCGGAUGAAUGAUAAGUGACUGAGUGGCGGACGGGUGAGUAACGCGUGGGUAACCUGCCUCAUACAGGGGGAUAACAGUUAGAAAUGACUGCUAAUACCGCAUAAGCGCACAGAGCUGCAUGGCUCCGUGUGAAAAACUCCGGUGGUAUGAGAUGGACCCGCGUCUGAUUAGCUAGUUGGUGAGGUAAUGGCUCACCAAGGCGACGAUCAGUAGCCGGCCUGAGAGGGUGAACGGCCACAUUGGGACUGAGACACGGCCCAAAUCCUACGGGAGGCAGCAGUGGGAAUAUUGCACAAUGGGGGGAAAACCCUGGAAUGCAGCGACGCCGCGUGAGUGAAGAAGUAUUUCGGUAUGUAAAGCUCUAUCAGCAAGGANAAAAUGACGGUACUUGACUAGAAG